GUGGCCUAAUAAAACACGUAUUUGUAUCUCUUUGGAGCUAUCUAGUGUGCAAUCUCAUUUCUAUUAUAAUCUUUCCUGUAACUCAGGCUUCUUCCCCAAACUCCGGCCCUCCCGAUGUUGCUAAACUACAACUCCCAUGAUUCUAUGAAUGAAAUAGAUAGGCUGAGAAUCAUGGGAGUUGUAGUUCGGCCCUCCAGAUGUUGCUGGAGUUUGGUGAAGCCUACUGCAACUAUUCAUACUAUUCUGGAAAACUGCUCCAGAAUGGAUUCUAGUGUAGCAUAAAAACAAAACGCUAUUCACUGCUCUGAGAUGCGCAAC
Molecule: non-coding RNA, 318 nt
Organism: Pelobates cultripes (western spadefoot toad)
Lineage: Eukaryota; Metazoa; Chordata; Amphibia; Anura; Pelobatidae
Source: the annotation of a GenBank genome assembly